Capsella rubella is the source of this 338-nucleotide long non-coding RNA. RefSeq lists it as uncharacterized. NCBI's taxonomy places the organism in Eukaryota, Viridiplantae, Streptophyta, Magnoliopsida, Brassicales, Brassicaceae. The transcript is spliced from 3 exons. The record is from RefSeq and is a predicted model, not a curated record.
GAACUUUAAGACAAAGAGGGAAUAGAACCAAAGAGUUCUCAAAGAGGGGCUUAGAAAAAUCAUAAGCUUAAAGGUAAAAGACUUUGGAUGGGUAGUGCAUGCAAAGUAAAGUAAAGAAGAUCAGUUGCGAUAUGUUGGAUGCUAAGAACGACACAACGGGGUAAAGAUGCAAAGUAAAGUAAAGAAGAUCAGUUGCGAUAUGUUGGAUGCUAAAAACGACACAACAGGGUAUAUGGAUCUGUUAAGACUUUGAGUUGAGUUCAAGUAGCAAACUUCUUUGACAGGUACGUACUUCAGGAGAUGUUGAUAUUACAACUGUAGCAGAAUUUAUGAUCAGG